AGUCCACGUACGUCACUUUGCAUAGAAUUACAAUUCCUGCCACCGCCUCCAGUCGCACCAUUUCGAUCUUGUUCCUCCACGCCCUACCUCCUCUUCCCCCCGCGUCCACCUCCCCAUCCUAGGCAGCGCCGCCACUGCCUCCAGACGCCGCGGUCGCUGCCUCCUCUCCCCUCUUCUGGCCGCCUCAUCUCCCCCUUUGAUCUCCGCCUCAAUUGCUGCCGGCAAUAGUAGGAACAGCCAAUGGCGCUCCAACCCGCCGCCGCCACAUGCCUCCUGCUUCGCCAAACCUCCUCAAGAAGUGCCGUGAAGGGCUCCCAUCCUCCGACGCCGGCGCUCCAGCAGAAGGUCUGAUCCUCGGGCUCGUGAUCUUCUUAUGAUCUGGUCGGUUUGUCGGGCCUCGGAUCAUUGUCCCUGCUGGAAGCUGGGCAGUUCGACCUUGCCAACCGUUCUUACCCCAGCAUCGCGGGCAGCGGAAGCCGGGGAUGCAGACUCCGCACUGUUCGCAGUGCCGCUCCCAAGAGUCCAAGACGAAGCCCGUUCCCCACUGACCUGCAUGUCUUUCCCUCAGGUUCCGGCUGCGCGAGGGGCGGCGACGGCGGCAAUGGCUGCGUCAGCCAGAGCUCUCAAGGUCGGACCGCCAAGGCAGGCCUGACGUUGGCAAUGGAGGAACAGUUGGUGAUGUCGUUCUUGAGUGCUCUGGGCCGAUCUAGGAUUUCAGUAGCUUGCAGCAUCACACGAAAGCUGGCCGAGGAGGCCAUGGACUUCCUAAGAAUCAGAUAGGAACAAGGGGUUCUGACAAGGUUGCACAAGUACCAGUUGGCACAGUGAUUCAUCUAGGCAGCACUGGAUUGCACAGGCACUUAGCGGAAUAAAAGACGAGACCACCUGGUAUUCUUUGUUAAUGAUAUGAAAGAAAUAUUAUUGAAUUUUAACAACCUGAUCCUUCAAGUAGUUCAGUGAUAAAGUUAGGUUGGUCCUCUUGGUGGCAUCAUCUUCAUGACCUGUUGUUUGCUGGCACCGACUGUGCAGAUUUCAAAGAAAGGAAGCUCUCUAUGGAGCAAAGGGCAGAUGAAAAGAUUUUGGAGGGAUGAGACUUGAGAUGUGAAGCACUAAGAUAAAGAGUUUAAAUCUAAGAUGAAGCCUACAUCUUCGACUAAAAUUUCUGGAUCAAACAUAGAGAAGGAUGUUGUUGAGUGGUAGCACUAAAUCACUGACAUUUCAAAUAAGGAAUUGAAGAGAAGGUGUUGAAAUCCUUGUGGCAACUCCUGGCCGCUUGAUGGAUCUGCUUCAGGCCUAGACUAUCACUGCAAAUGGUGAAUUACUUGGCUCCUGAUCAAGCUAAUCGAAUGCUCGAUACUGGGUUUGAACCAUCGAUAGCUAAAGCUGUUGAGCAGAUGGAUAUGCCCUCUUGUGGUGUGAGAUGGAUGGUGUUGUUUACGACGGACAUGCAACAAUCAGAUUUAGAUUAAAGAAUUCUAAAAACAUAUGCAUAUGUAGUUCAUUCAUGGUUUGACUAACUCGCUCGUGUAUAACUCACAUGAUAGGACACAAGAAGGUUUUCUUUUCAAAGCUAAGACUCCAUAACCAAUAUAAUCAUUUGCAUGUUUCCUUCUC
Long non-coding RNA from Brachypodium distachyon (stiff brome), 1614 nucleotides. RefSeq lists it as uncharacterized. The transcript has 8 exons. Lineage: Eukaryota; Viridiplantae; Streptophyta; Magnoliopsida; Poales; Poaceae. The record is from RefSeq and is a predicted model, not a curated record.